Molecule: ribosomal RNA, 1139 nt
Filed under: uncultured bacterium
Lineage: Bacteria
Description: bacterial SSU rRNA
Rfam family: Bacterial small subunit ribosomal RNA
Source: RNAcentral
UAGUCGGUGCGGUAACGGCGCACCGAGGCUACGAUGGGUAGGGGCCCUGAGAGGGGGAUCCCCCACACUGGUACUGAGACACGGACCAGACUCCUACGGGAGGCAGCAGUGAGGAAUAUUGGACAAUGGGCGGGAGCCUGAUCCAGCCAUGCCGCGUGCAGGAAGACUGCCCUAUGGGUUGUAAACUGCUUUUUUACGGGAAGAAACACCCCCUCGUGAGGGGGCUUGACGGUACCGUACGAAUAAGGAUCGGCUAACUCCGUGCCAGCAGCCGCGGUAAUACGGAAAAUCCGAGCGUUAUCCAAAAUCAUUGGGUUUAAAGGGUCCGUAGGCGGGCGUCUAAGUCAGUGGUGAAAUCCCGCGGCUCAACCGUGGAAUUGCCAUUGAUACUGGUCGCCUUGAAUGGUCGUGAAGUGGCUAGAAUAUGUGGUGUAGCGGUGAAAUGCUUAGAUAUCACAUAGAAUACCGAUUGCGAAGGCAGGUCGCUAACGACGCAUUGACGCUGAUGGACGAAAGCGUGGGGAGCGAACAGGAUUAGAUACCCUGGUAGUCCACGCCGUAAACGAUGGAUACUAGCUGUCCGUCCCGAGUUGUCGGGAUGGGUGGCCAAGCGAAAGUGAUAAGUAUCCCACCUGGGGAGUACGUUCGCAAGAAUGAAACUCAAAGGAAUUGACGGGGGCCCGCACAAGCGGUGGAGCAUGUGGUUUAAUUCGAUGAUACGCGAGGAACCUUACCAGGGCUUGAAUGCAGUGCGACAGGGGCGGAAACGCCCCCUUCUUCGGACGCAUUGCAAGGUGCUGCAUGGUUGUCGUCAGCUCGUGCCGUGAGGUGUCAGGUUAAGUCCUAUAACGAGCGCAACCCCUGCCGCUAGUUGCCAGCAUGUAAAGAUGGGAACUCUAGCGGGACUGCCGGUGCAAACCGUGAGGAAGGUGGGGAUGACGUCAAAUCAUCACGGCCCUUACGUCCUGGGCCACACACGUGCUACAAUGGCCGGUACAAUGGGCAGCCACGCCGCAAGGCGGAGCGAAUCCACAAAACCGGUCUCAGUUCGGAUCGGGGUCUGCAACUCGACCCCGUGAAGCUGGAAUCGCUAGUAAUCGGAUAUCAGCCAUGAUCCGGUGAAUACGUUCCCGGGCCUU